GUAUUGUAUUAAACGAGAGAAGGUUAGCACCAUCCUUGACAAGGGUGGAGGAGGCCCUUAGGCCUGACAACAUACGUGUAGUUAAGGUGUUGCCAACUACUUGGUAGCAUCUAACCAUGUGGGUGC
Myotis lucifugus (little brown bat) is the source of this 126-nucleotide small nuclear RNA. The record is from Ensembl. NCBI's taxonomy places the organism in Eukaryota, Metazoa, Chordata, Mammalia, Chiroptera, Vespertilionidae.